RNAcentral lists this ribosomal RNA (218 nucleotides) under uncultured bacterium. RNAcentral's name for it is "partial 16S ribosomal RNA". It matches the Rfam family "Bacterial small subunit ribosomal RNA", at positions 116 to 334 of the family's 1533-position model. The record is from RNAcentral.
CAUCGAUAACCUGCCCUGAAGUGGGGGAUACCCAGCCGAAAGGCUGGCUAAUACCGCAUCAUGUCCCCGGGACAACGCCUGGGGAAGAAAGCAGUAAUGCGCUUUAGGAGGGGUCGAUGUCCGAUUAGCUAGUUGGUGUGGUAACGGCGCACCAAGGCGACGAUCGGUAGCUGGUCUGAGAGGACGAUCAGCCACACUGGAACUGAGACACGGUCCAG